Molecule: unclassified non-coding RNA, 297 nt
Filed under: uncultured fungus
Lineage: Eukaryota; Fungi
Description: partial contains 5.8S ribosomal RNA and internal transcribed spacer 2
Rfam family: 5.8S ribosomal RNA (bases 1-133)
Source: RNAcentral
UGGUUCUGGCAUCGAUGAAGAACGCAGCGAAAUGCGAUAAGUAAUGUGAAUUGCAGAAUUCAGUGAAUCAUCGAAUUUUUGAACGCAUAUUGCGCCCUUUGGUAUUCCGAAGGGCAUGCCUGUUCGAGCGUCAUGACACCCCUCAAGCCUAGCUUGCUGUUGGGCCCGCCGGCGACGGCCAGCCUUAAAGUUAGUGACGGUUACCCCUAACCUCAGGCGCACAGAUGCUGCUAUGACGGGAAGGGGCGAUCAGUAUCUCAAUCGUUUGACCUCGGAUCAGGUAGGAAUACCCGCUGA